GUUCACUGAACACAGGGAGAGGAAAACCCCAGCUGGGAGCACCAAAAACGAGCAAAGCAAAGCUGCUCUAUAUUGCUGACAGUCACUGGGAUCAUCAGCAGAAGCGAGGUACGCAACACUUCUUUCUCAUUUGGGGUUCAGACUCUCUCUUUGGAAGCAGGAGUGCUAGGACAUUGGGGUUUCUUUCCUCCAAAUAAAUGGGGUGACAGAAGAGAUUACUAGGAAGUGCUUUUUCACCUGAACGUGAGCAAACCCCAUUGGGUGAACUUUGCAGCACAGAGCACAUCUCUGAGGGUGGGAGAGGGGAUGCUGGGCAUUAGGAGAAUAAGGAGAAAGAGAGAAAGCUCUGGGGAAGGUAAUCACACACUUCUCGAGUCACGGGAACAUGAUAUAUAUGUGCCUGUUGUGAGGUAGUGCUUUAGGUGCAUCUCUGUUUAUUAAAAAGGGAUUAUUUUUUUUCCAUCUGACUUUAUUGAUACACAGUGGUUCAAAGAAAAUUAAGAAAAAAAAAGAAUUGCAGCUGUGGAAUAUUAUUAUUUAUGCACAACCCCUUAGUAGUCAGAAGUUCCUCUGGAGAUCUAUUGAUUCUGCGUGUGGGCAGUUGAAUUCAUGUUGGGUAUUCAGCUCCGGACAGGACACGUUGUUCGCUGGCUUGUGCAGCUUCCAUGGAUCACAUCGAGCUGGUGUCCACCAUGCCGUCAGUCUUGCCUGGUUUAGGCACGAUAGGUGCAGCCCUGGGGCACAGGUAGGCUGAUCCAGGUGGCUUCUGGCUGUGUCCUCUGCCUUUCUGUGGUUAUUCUGUGGUUUUGGCUGAGUCAGGGUAAGAGAAGGGCACUGACUGUGCUCUGCUUUUGUAUGAAAUCGGUCCAUAAACAAAAUAAAUUGCAGGCCCAGCUGGAGCUGUGAAAGCA
This 911-nucleotide long non-coding RNA is filed under the name Anas platyrhynchos platyrhynchos (common mallard). RNAcentral's name for it is "lncRNA (ENSAPLG00000021151.1)". The record is from RNAcentral. Lineage: Eukaryota; Metazoa; Chordata; Aves; Anseriformes; Anatidae.